AGAGUUUGAUCAUGGCUCAGGAUUAACGCUGGCGGUAUGCCUAACACAUGCAAGUCGAACGGAAUACUAAUUAAGAGAAUCUCACACUAGUGAGAGGUUCUCACGAGUAGUAUUUAGUGGCGGACGGGUGAGUAACACGUUGGAACCUGCCCGAAGUGGGGAAUAACUGCUCGAAAGAGUAGCUAAUACCCCAUAGUAUCCGGGUUUAUCCGGAUUAGAGAUUUAUCGCUUCGGGAGGGGCCUGCGUCUGAUUAGCUAGUUGGUGAGGUAAAAGCUCACCAAGGCGACGAUCAGUAGCUGGUUCGAGAGGAUGACCAGCCACACUGGGACUGAGAUACGGCCCAGACUCCUACGGGAGGCAGCAGUGAGGAAUCUUCCACAAUGGACGAAAGUCUGAUGGAGCAAUACCGCGUGCAGGAAGACGCUUUUCGGAGUGUAAACUGCUUUUGUCGUCGAAGAUUAUGACUGUAGACGAAGAAUAAGGACCGACUAACUACGUG
RNAcentral lists this ribosomal RNA (500 nucleotides) under uncultured bacterium. RNAcentral's name for it is "bacterial SSU rRNA". It matches the Rfam family "Bacterial small subunit ribosomal RNA", at positions 8 to 507 of the family's 1533-position model. The record is from RNAcentral.